CCUACGGGAGACAGCAGUGGGGAAUAUUGCACAAUGGGGGAAACCCUGAUGCAGCGACGCCGCGUGAGCGAUGAAGUAUUUCGGUAUGUAAAGCUCUAUCAGCAGGGAAGAAAAUGACGGUACCUGACUAAGAAGCCCAGGCUAACUACGUGCCAGCAGCCGCGGGAAUACGUAGGGGGCAAGCGUUAUCCGGAUUUACUGGGUGUGAAGGGAGCGUAGACGGUGAUGCAAGCCAGAUGUGAAAGCCCGGGGCUCAAACCCGGGACUGCAUUUGGAACUGUAUAGCUGGAUUGUCGGAGAGGCAGGCGGAAUUCCUAGUGUAGCGGUGAAAUGCGUAGAGAUUAGGAGGAACAACAGUGGCGAAGGCGGCCUGCUGGACGAUGACGGACGUUGAGGCUCGAAAGCGUGGGGAGCAAACAGGAUUAGAUACCCGAGUAGUC
This 440-nucleotide ribosomal RNA is filed under the name uncultured bacterium. Its description in RNAcentral is "partial 16S ribosomal RNA". It matches the Rfam family "Bacterial small subunit ribosomal RNA", at positions 338 to 795 of the family's 1533-position model. The record is from RNAcentral.